Molecule: long non-coding RNA, 2190 nt
Organism: Nerophis ophidion (straightnose pipefish)
Lineage: Eukaryota; Metazoa; Chordata; Actinopteri; Syngnathiformes; Syngnathidae
Exons: 2
Source: RefSeq, a predicted model, not a curated record
AGGAGUGGUCAAAAAUUCAACCAGAAGUUUGCCAGAAACUUGUGGAUGGCUACCAAAAGUGCCUUAUUGCAGUGAAACUUGCCGAGGGACAUGUAACUAAAUAUUAACAUUGCUGUAUGUAUACUUUUGACCCAGCAGAUUUGCUCACAUUUUACUGACUCUUACUGACAUCUAGUGGCGAUAGGAAAUUACUACGUUUGAUUUGUUCACUUCCGGGUCGACGAUUUCAGGAAGUCAGUUUAUGAGACAAAUGAGAAGCAGACAAAAUUGUGUUAGCUAUUACAUGCCUUGGAAAAGAUAAGACUGAACGCCUUAACUGUGAAAUUGGGGUGACCGUCGACCAGCCAGGAGUACGGGCCGACGUAGCUGGGGUCCGGCUUCUUAGAUUCUGUGGCAAGAGGCAUGACACGGGACGACUGCCGUACCAUCUGACCCACCUGGUGUGCGAUGACGGUUGGCCAGACAUUGAUUACACAAUGAUGUCCUACACGGGUCAGAGGGAGUGGACCAACCAGGACCAUGAAGCGGCCAUCGGCUGCGUCUGCCUUUAGCGUCGCUCGACUUAGUAAACCGACUUUCCCAAAGUUCCUUUAUCAGCUCAGCCACAUCAUGAGCCUAGCAUAGACAGGCUGAUACCAAUGGCACCAGGGUUUCUGAUCCAAGGAUUGAAACGCAAGAGGUUGGAACCCAUACAUCCAUCCACCCAUUUUCUACCGCUUGUCCAUGUUUGGGUUGCGGGGGGUAGCUGGAGCCUAUCUCAGCUGCUUUCGGGCGGAAAGCGGGUGCACACCCUGGACAAGUCGCCAUCUCAUCGUAGGGCGAGGUUGGAACCCAUAAGCCAUAUGGAAAGGAGUGUGGCUGAGCUGAUGAAGGAACUGUGGGAAAGUUGGUUGACAAAGUCGAGCGACGCUAAAGGCAGACGCAGGGGAUGGCCGCUUCAUGGUCCUGGUUGGUCCGCUGCCUCUGACCUUCGCUUUGGGGGUGUUGGCAGAUAACAGACAUGGUGAAGCGUUCAAGGACCUGUAGAAUGCCUCCCAUAAAGCCAAUGAAAACUGAGGACUGCUGUCAGAGACCACCUCUGUGGGGGUUGGAGCAUGCCACAAAAGGAGCCAUCUUGGAGAACCUUUUAACGAGUGGUGUUGCCUGUGAGAACCUUACGAUGUGAGAUCAUAGGUAGAGAGCGGAGAAGUGUUUACGGAGCUGGAAAAAAAAGUAAAUAGUACGACUGACACAAUUAGCUCAGUUUUGGAGUCAUGUGACUACAUUACAUUGUCCCCAAAACUUGUCUCAAGCAUUCAGGUGUUAGUCAACAACCUUCCCUAACUCGCUUUCUCAACAAGCUUCUUGUUGAUAGUCUUGCAGUCCAUCAGUAAUCUUGCAGGCCUACAAUCCUGUCCCUGACGUCCAUUGACAGUCUUCUCUUAGAGAUGUUUGAAUGGAAGUGCUUGUUUCUGUGACACGUAUAUAAGGAGAUAAGAUUAAGAAUACUUUCUGAUAGGGACUGGGCCAAUUUGUGUUUCAUGGACACAUAACGGUCUGUGAGGGCCAUAAUGCUUUUUGGUUGGUAGGGAAACAAUUACAUAUAUUUCGAUCAAUUUACAGUAUAAGUCAGGCUUGCCACUCACAGUUUGUUUGUGUUUUAGUUUUUCCUCUAUGCGUGUUUAGUAUUCCCUGUCCUUAGUUCCUGUCAGCAAUCUUAUUUGGGUUCAGCUUCCUGUUUGUCUCCCUGUGUGCUGUUUUCCCCACAGCUGCGGCUGAUUGGCACCUGGCCACACCUGGUGUCAAUCAGCCCGCUCCUUUUUUACCUGCUUUGUUCCUCCAGUCAGUGCUGGAUUAUUGUCAUGUCGAUGUCGCUCUUGUCGUUGCUAUCUGUCGUGUCGUGUUUUGUCAAUGCAGCAUUGCGGUAAGCUUUAUCUGAUUGCGGUUUUUAGCUUACUGCCUUUUGUUCCCUGCUUUCAAGUUUGUUUUCAUAUUUAAUGUACAACUUCUGUUUCCUGGUCGAGACCUGCUAGUUUCCACACUAGGCCUUUUUGUUUUUGCUAGCUUCCAUGCUAAGCUCCGUUUAUUUUCUAGUUCCCAUGCUAGGGAACUAGAACUUUUGUUUGUUAUCCGCCCACGUGCACAGUUUUUGUUUGUACCUUUUGUUUGGUUUUGUGUUAGUUUUGAAUUAAAUUAUGUUUCCUUACAAAA